CCUACGGGCGGCAGCAGUGAGGAAUAUUGGUCAAUGGACGCAAGUCUGAACCAGCCAUGCCGCGUGCAGGAAGACGGCUCUAUGAGGGGUAAACUGCUGUUGUACGAGGGUAAACGCAGAUACGCGUAUCUGUCUGAAAGGAUCCUACGAAUAAGGAUCGGCUAACUCCGUGCCAGCAGCCGCGGUAAUACGGAGGAUACAAGCGUUAUCCGGAUUUAUUGGGUUUAAAGGGUGCGUAGGCGGUCGGAUAAGUUAGAGGUGAAAUCCCGGGGCUCAACUUCGGAAUUGCCUCUGAUACUGUUCGGCUAGAGGGUAGUUGCGGUAGGCUGAAUGUCUGGUGUAGCGGUGACAUGCUUAGAGAUCAUACAGCACACCGAUUGCGAAGGCAGCUUACCAAGCUACUUCUGACGUUGAGGCACGAAAGCGUGGGGAGCAAACAGGAUUAGAUACCCGAGUAGUC
This 460-nucleotide ribosomal RNA is filed under the name uncultured bacterium. Its description in RNAcentral is "partial 16S ribosomal RNA". It matches the Rfam family "Bacterial small subunit ribosomal RNA", at positions 338 to 795 of the family's 1533-position model. The record is from RNAcentral.